AGUUCCUCGCCCCGGAGCUAUUCGGGGUGGUGGAAGAGUCAUUUUCCAACACCGACAUGUAUAUGGCUUGAGUAAAACAUUUACAUGUUGCCACACCUAACAUAAGUAUGAUAUACAAAUGAGAAUAUACCUUGCUCUUCUAUGCUAAAUCCACUUUCUUCCUAUUGGUGACGUUAUCAUCAGAAAAUAGUCUCUGACUUUGGUCCUCCCACUCACACACAUACAAACUCAAAUUCUUUAAUUCUCUCUCCAUUGGCAAGUCAUGGAGCUCCUAUGGGAGCUUGCCUUCACCAUAGCUCUUUCUCUUUUACUUCCAUUGGUUUUCCUCAAACUCCUUUCCGUGACCCCAAACUUCGAAGCAAAUGAGAAAGUGGCUGUUAUUCGGCGUGAUCAUGAUCAUCGAGUUGAAUCUGAUUCCAAUAGUUGGGAAACGGAUAAAGUUGUUCAAAUUGGUGGGAAAAUUGAUGAAUUCAGAGACAAACCUAUAGUGGGAAAAUUAGUAGUCCCGGAAAUUGUGGAUGUGAGUUGUGGAUCGCCCAAGAUACACAAUUCAGAAAAGAUUGAUGGGGACAGACUUCACAACGAAAUUGAACUCGAGGAUUUGGCAGAGGAUCCUGUUGUGGAUGAGGGUAAUGAAGGGGUUGUUAAUAUUAACAAAGUUGAGGUAGAAUUGAUGGAAUGUGAUUCUAGAGAGAACAAAGUUGAAGAGGUUGAGAUCUCGCAGUGCGAAAGAUAUUAUAAUGAGAUUGAAGAAUCUAGUAUGAACGAGGAAAUGGGUGAAAACAAGGGCUCGGUGGUGGAUGAGGAUGAUUGGGAAGGAAUAGAAAGAACUGAAUUGGAGAGGCGCUUUGGUGCUGCAGUUGUAUUUGUCGGUUCCAAGAGCAAUGCUAAUCUUAGUAAUGAUGUGAAGAUGAAGCUUCAUGGUUAUCACCGAAUUGCUACUCAGGGUCCUUGCCAUGAACCUCAGCCAAUGGCUCUGAAGUUCUCUGCUCGAGCAAAGUGGAUUGCAUGGCGACAGCUUGGGAUUAUGAGUCCAGAGGAAGCUAUGGAGCAAUAUAUCAGCCUUCUAUCAGAAAACAUUCCUGAUUGGAUUGUAGAAAAUCCUUAUGAUAAUGCUAAACCGGCUUCUGCAAAACUAACCUUAUGAUUUGAAGGCAUAGCUAUUAGCUACCAUGGCAAAGAAGCUGAAAAUUAUAAGGAAAGCAAAACAAAAUUCCUAACAGUAAAACAGAAUUUGCUGAUUGCAAUGCAAAGGGAAUAUUCCUAAGUGGUUGCAACUAACUCCUUCAAAGCAGCCAAGUAACAGCUAGACAGGAUCUUCCAGUCGAGCUGGUCAUUUAGUGAUCCUUUUGGGCUAUUGUGGUCAGUAAGGAUGGUGAACUGUGGCCAAGUAAGUAUUGACCCCACUUUUGAACGGUUGUGGUAAUGGCGUGCAAUUCUCAGACAUACGUGGAUGUGUUUUGCAUACGAGGGGCAAAUGGCUUACUAUAAAAAGUAAUGGGAUGUCCGUGUUGCAUCAGUGCAAGCCCGAAAGCAUCUGUUUCUAACACAAGAGGCAAAGAAAAAUUUGGGAGAACCAGGACUAGUGCCUUUGGUCAUGGCGCGUUUGAGAUUAUCAAAUGCAAGUUGAGCCUCAGGUGUACAGUUGCACAAGAGAGAAUUGAGGGGAGAAGUAAUUGAAGCAUACCCGUUGAUGAAUUUGCGAUAAAAGUCUGUGAGACCAAGGAAUCCACAUAAAUCCUUUUGAUUGGAAGGAAUAGGCCAGUCUAACAUAACCUUGAUCUGGGAUUGCUCAAGUUCAACUCCUUUGCCAUGAUAACGUGACCUAAGUAUACUCCAACUGAUGUUGCGCAAAUAAGCACUUAGAAUGCUUGAGGUAAAAUUUCCAUUGCCAUAAAGUUUGGAAAAUAAGCUCUAAAUGGUGAAGGUGUGACGACAAUGUUUCACUAUAGAUGAGAAUCACGUCGAAGAACACAACAACGAAUUUGUGCAAAAAUGGUUGGAGAAGUGUACUCAUUGUUGCCUGGAAGGUCGAAGGUGCAUUGCAGAGGCCAAACGACAUGACCCGAUAUUCGUAAUGGCCUUGAUGAGUUCGAAACGUAGUUUUCACAAUGUCAUCGUCGACCAUUAAAAUUUGAUCAGAACCUUGACAUAAAUCAAGUUUGGAGAACCACGACGCAUGGUCGAGAUCAUCCAAAAGCUCGUUGAUUGUUGGCAUUAGAAAACGAUCUUUAAUGGUAAUGAAGUUCAAUGUGCGAAAAUUGAUAACGGUUAAUUAUGAGUAUAUUUUGGGGGGUUAAAUUA
Glycine soja is the source of this 2304-nucleotide RNA transcript. It is a transcript of the gene named acyl-CoA-binding domain-containing protein 3-like, with no coding region annotated. The transcript has 4 exons. The record is from RefSeq and is a predicted model, not a curated record. NCBI's taxonomy places the organism in Eukaryota, Viridiplantae, Streptophyta, Magnoliopsida, Fabales, Fabaceae.